This 2134-nucleotide long non-coding RNA is filed under the name Homo sapiens (human). RNAcentral's name for it is "HSALNT0317998". The record is from RNAcentral. Lineage: Eukaryota; Metazoa; Chordata; Mammalia; Primates; Hominidae.
AACAAACAAACAAAAAACCCCAGGACACUCUGUUGUCUUGUCACUGUCCCUCACAUGUUCUGUGACCCCAGACAAACCACUUCCCUUAUCUGAGCCUCAGUUUCCCCAUCUGCAGCCCAGCACAGUCCCAGCACAGAACACAUGUUCAAUAAAUGAAUCAUGGAGAUCUCUAGUUAACCUGUAGGACUCCAGCCAGCUCGAGAGAUCUAUUAAUACAAUUCUACCCACGAUUCUGCUCUUUCGAAAGUGCAGCUUUCUUAGUUGAGUUCUUCCAGAUGCAGACUUUGAGAUGAGGCUUCAUCUGCAAGCAAUUUAUUAAGGAGUGCUUCCUGAAGACCAGCAGGGAAAAGAAGCUACAGUGUGGUGUCAAGCAAGACCCAGCCUCAGCCUGAUCAAACCAGGUGCUCUGGAGAAUGCAUUAUGACUUUGUGCUAUGGAGAAUGCAUUAUGACUUCGUACCUCAAUGCAAGACAGCUGGGCUCUCACAGUUCUGGGCCCACCAGUCACUGGCUAUGGGGCCACCUGGGAGGGGUGUGUGAAUUCCCAGGCACUUGCAUCUCUGCAGGAGUGCAAGGGCGGGCCCCUGAAGUAGGUUUAAGUGAUCGCUCUUGGAGGUGAAGCAUAACGAAGCUGGGGGAGCAACAAGAAAUACCUUCAUCUUUUUAGAGAAGAGUGAAAUUGAAGCCAGAGAGGUUGGUUAACUUGCCCAAGAUCACAAAGCUUCCAAGAUGAAGAGCUGGGAUUUCAUUUCAGGUUUCCCAUCUGGCAACAUCCAAGCCCUUUCCAUAAUUCCACACUGUGAAUUUGCUUCCCAAACCAAGAGUGGGAUACAAUUAGCUGGGGAGUGCAACUCAUCCCUCAAUCACUGAUCUGAGUAUGGAUAUCAAAAGAAACAUUUCCUGAAGCAAGACGCUGAGCUGGAAGCUUCCACGGUUGUGCCUAUACUGUGGCAGUCCUGCGCGAACCUGUCCGGCCCCAUGGAAACCUGCAGGGCUGAGGUCUCCCAGGGCAAAUGGGGCUGCAGGAUGCUCACUACACCCCCAGAAACAGGAGAAGGGACAAGGACACAGGACUGUCUGUGAGCAACACUGACUUUCGGCACAGGAGAGAUCCUUUGCCCCUCCUCACUCCAGAAUAUUGCUAAGAACAUAAUUGAUCUCUCUCCUUCUCAUUCACUCACAUCUCCCAAAACAAAGGAAGAGAGACCCAUUCAACUGAUCAGAGCCUGACUUUCCAUUGCUGAGCCAUGUUUUACUACUGAGUGGGGCAACUGCUUUAAAAAUCCAUUUGUUGCUGCAUUUUCUUGCCAGCUAUUUCUUCAUUUACAGGGUUCUGAGAGGCCUGGCCUCUGCUUCCUCCGCCCAUCCAAUAAGUACCACCUGUCUGUUGAGGGGCUCAGUGGCUUCAAGGUUUCAACCCUGGCUACAUCAUGGAACCAUCUGGGGAGCUUUCCAAGUACUGAUGCCUGAACCUUAGUCACAGAUUAAUGGAAACCUGAGGAAUGGGGACCCAUGACCUGGAGUCUGUAAGGCUUCCCCAUUGAUGUGAUGCUUGGUGAAAUCUGUUUGGUUCAGUGUGGGUCGGUGUGAGUGAGUAACCAAGUGAGCUGAUCAUGUACGCUCUCCACAUAUGAUUUGUGGGGAAGACAAGGACAUUUAUUCUUUCAAUUGGUUCAUUCGACAACUACUUACUGAGCAACUACUAGAUGCCAGCCAUGGUUCUGAAUGCUGGGAAUAGAGUGGUAAAAAUGCAGAGGACAUGCAAAUUGAAACAACGGAAUACCACUACACGCCUACUGGAGUGAACAAAAUCCAAACACUGACAACUCCAAGUGCUGACGAGGAUGUGGAGGGAGCAGCAGGAACUCUCAUUCCUCCCUGGUGGGAAUCCAAAAUGGCACAGCCAUUUUGGAAAACAGAUUGGCAAUGUCUUACCAAACUAAGCCUACUCUUACUAUACAAUCCAGCAAUCAUUUUCCUUAGUAUUUAUGCAAAGGAGUUGAAAAUGUACGUCUGCAGAAAAACUUGCACACAGAUGUUUAAAGCAGGUUUAUUCACACUUGCCAAAACCUGGAAGCAACUAAGAUGUCUUUCGGUAGGCUACCAGGUAAAUAAACUGUAGCAUGUACAGAUAA